UGGGUCGGCAAGACGGUCGCGUCGGUCCGCGAGAGCGGACCGCCGAGGAACGUCCGGGCUCCACAGAGCAGGGUGGUGGGUAACACCCACCCGGGGUAACCCGCGAGACAGUGCAACAGAAAGCAGACCGCCACCGGCUUCGGCCGGUGGUCAGGGUGAAACGGUGGUGUAAGAGACCACCAGCGGCCGGGGUGACCCGGUCGGCUCGGUAAACCUCGCCCGGAGCAAGGUCAGACAGGGGACGAUGAGGCUGCUCGCCGAGUCCCCGGGUAGACCGCUGGAGGGCGGCGGCAACGUCGCCCCGAGAGAGAUGGCCGUCCGCGACACUCCGGUGUCGUGACAGAACCCGGCGUACUAGCCGGCCCAUUCC
This is a non-coding RNA of Leifsonia aquatica ATCC 14665, 370 nucleotides long. It matches the Rfam family "Bacterial RNase P class A". From Rfam's summary of the family: Ribonuclease P (RNase P) is a ubiquitous endoribonuclease, found in archaea, bacteria and eukarya as well as chloroplasts and mitochondria. The record is from Rfam. NCBI's taxonomy places the organism in Bacteria, Bacillati, Actinomycetota, Actinomycetes, Micrococcales, Microbacteriaceae.